This 103-nucleotide small nuclear RNA is filed under the name Pongo abelii (Sumatran orangutan). Lineage: Eukaryota; Metazoa; Chordata; Mammalia; Primates; Hominidae. The record is from RNAcentral.
GCAGGACAUAACGCUAAAACCGGAGCAAUACAGAGAAGAUUAGCAUGGCCCUCACCCAAAGAUGACACGCAAAUUUGUGAAGUAUUCCUUUUUUUUUUUUUUU